Molecule: long non-coding RNA, 295 nt
Organism: Carassius gibelio (silver crucian carp)
Lineage: Eukaryota; Metazoa; Chordata; Actinopteri; Cypriniformes; Cyprinidae
Exons: 2
Source: RefSeq, a predicted model, not a curated record
ACAAGCUUUUAUUUUGAAGUUUUCUGGUGAUCAGCCAGUGUUUGAAUGUGAUGUCAUCGCAGCAACCUAAAGACACUACGCUCCGCCCAUUUCCAGCAGGUGGCAAUGAUUAGUGUUUGGUAGAAAUAGCCUGCACCGAGUAGGUGAAAGCAAAUGUACUCGAGGCUUUCUCAAGUGUUGGUGUUGUGUGCGUAUGUUAGAUGAACCAAACCACACCCAGAUGGAAACAACACCAAUGUAAUGUCUGCAACAUUUGUGAAUUGUUGUGAAGAAAAUAAAUGCAUCAAAGACUUAA